RNAcentral lists this ribosomal RNA (486 nucleotides) under uncultured bacterium. RNAcentral's name for it is "partial 16S ribosomal RNA". It matches the Rfam family "Bacterial small subunit ribosomal RNA", at positions 28 to 507 of the family's 1533-position model. The record is from RNAcentral.
GAUGAACGCUGGCGGCGUGCCUAAUACAUGCAAGUCGAACGCUGGAGCUCUAGCUUGCUAGAUCGAAGGAGUGGCGAACGGGUGAGUAAUACAUAAGCAACCUACCCACGAAGACUGGGAUAAUCUCUGGAAACGGGGACUAAUACCGGAUAGGUAAUCGGAAGGCAUCUUCUGGUUAUUAAAGGUUAAAAACACUGGUGGAUGGGCUUAUGGCGCAUUAGUUAGUUGGUGAGGUAACGGCCCACCAAGACGAUGAUGCGUAGCCGGCCUGAGAGGGUGAACGGCCACAUUGGGACUGAGACACGGCCCAGACUCCUACGGGAGGCAGCAGUAGGGAAGUUUCAGCAAUGGGGGCAACCCUGACCGAGCAACGCCGCGUGAGUGAAGACGGCCUUCGGGUUGUAAAGCUCUGUUGUAAGGGAAGAACGGUAGAUAGAGAAUAUCUAAGUGACGGUACCUUACCAGAAAGCCACGGCUAACUACGUG